RNA transcript from Haplochromis burtoni (Burton's mouthbrooder), 2824 nucleotides. RefSeq lists it as uncharacterized. Lineage: Eukaryota; Metazoa; Chordata; Actinopteri; Cichliformes; Cichlidae. The transcript is spliced from 5 exons. The record is from RefSeq and is a predicted model, not a curated record.
CAUCAGCGGUCAUGGAGAGUCUCCAUCCAGCUGGAUCACUGUCACAGGGGAACACACCACCACACCUCCACCUACAUCCACACCUCCACCUCGUUCUACUUCUCUUCCUCCAUCACUUGCUCCUCCAGUUCUCUUUGUGUUGUCAUUUGUUGGGUCAGUCUGUGUUGUGACUUUACUGGUGGUACUGGUUCUGCUGGUGAGACGACUUGUUAACAGGAAACUUAAAGAGACUGAUCCAGCUGCAGUCUACUCAGCAGUGAGAACUGAAGACGUCAGUUAUGGACCAAUUAUCAUCCUAGAGAAGAAAAGAAAAUCAACGAAAAGAGAGUGUGAUCCAGCUGGAGUCUACUCAUCAGUGCGAACUGGAGACGUCAGUUAUGGACAAAUCACCAUCAGAGACAAGGAAAACAGAUCAAAGACCAGAGAGUCGUCGCCUAGUCCUCGCUGAACUCCAACCGCUGGAAUCCAGCUGCUGUUCCAUGUGACCUGAGGACAUUCAUUACAAAUCAUAUCUGUAUAUAUUGUCUUUAAUCUUUUCAUUAAAUUCAAGGCCACAUACUGAUGGACCAAAAACCCAAAGAGAAAUUAAUGUUUUUGGUAGAAUAAAAGCUAAACUUCUUUAACGACUUUAAAGAAAAAAAAAUACAAGUAUAUUUUCAUCACCUUGUCUUUCAGCAUCUCAGUAUGGCCAUAACAGCAACAUGUAUCUGUAUAAUACAUGUUAUAUGAACAAUAAAUAACAAUACUAUCUUGUCUAUAUCUAAUAUAUACAUGUAAAGUAAUAUAUUUAACAUACUUAGUUACUUGUAGAACCCUGCUGUUGUCUCCACUGCAGUGAUCUGUACUCUCUGCAGGACUUUGGUUGGACUUGUUCUUCUCGUGUGGUUCUGUGGGUUUCAUGAAGAUGUCUGAUGGAAAAUGUGAACUGUUGUUGCUAACACAUGCACAUGCACAAGCUUGAGAACAAAGUGUGGAUGUGGUUAAUGAGUUUUGAUUUAAGUAAAUGAAUUGUGUGAGACUUUAGAUGCUGUUUGAACUAAAGACGUCUCCAUCAGUAGAUAAGAAUUAGCGCAUGUGCAUCUUAGUUACAGUGUUGAUACCUGUGGUUGUCCUUGCACAGGACAGUGAGGACAUAUGUGCUGUCUAUACUCAUUCAGUCUGAUAUGAUCUCAGUUUCCAUUCAGUCAAAAUCGGGGUCAGAUUAUGCUGCAAAAACAAAUGCUCAGAGAAAGACUGAUAUACUAAGAGAUAUACUCAAGUAGAGUUACCAGAACCACCAGGAUCUUUCCAGCCACUUUAAUUAUAUGCAUAAUUAGUCAGUUCACAGCCAACUAUAGGUGCAUUCCAGGAGCAUCCACAGACAGCAAAAAGCACUAACCACAGUUUAAAGCACAGUCUGGUGCUGCCAUCUAGUGACACUGAAGAAUGACUGAUUUUAGGAUCAUUCCUGGUCACUUUAACUGCUGCAUGUAUUUUUGAUUUCUUCUAUCUAUGUUUACAAAAUGUAUAGCGCACAGGGAACACAGAAAGACACAUCUAUACUACAAUCAUUAUAGUAUAAUGUUGUGGACGUUAUAGUGUGACUGAUCAUUUUAAUCUGACAUUUCAUUCUUUGCUCAACUGCACUGUGAAAAGCACAGAUGUUUACAGUAUUUGUAUAAGUUAUAUACAUGCUGCCACUCACAGUGCCUGUGUAAUGUUAAUGCAAAGUUUCAUCAAGCUCAGCCCACUCACCUUAGGGAGCACACAGUCACACAUGCAUGUCUAUGCUGCAGUUAACACAGUAUGAUACACACAGCAGUCAUGGAGUAAUGCAGAGUCUUUGUCAUUCUCCCAACUCCUUCAGUUCAUCAUCUCUCACUCACUGUCAUCUACAUAAAGAGCUACACAUAAAUUAGCAUAGAUAGAUAGAUCCGGACAGAGCUACAGACCCAUGACACUGUUACCCAGUUAGCUAGCAGCUAAUGACCACCACUAUUUGUGCAGUUAAUGAAAAUAUAGGUGAUGUUUGUUGUGGUGUCGCCAACACAGCACACUCAUUUGUUUCAAUUCGUCAGGUGUCUAAAUGGAUUGGUUCUUAUAGAGCACUUUUCUACUCUGAGCACCCACAGCGCUUUGCCUCAUUGACCCAUUCACACAAGCCCUUUUUUUUUUGCUCUUUCUAUCUAACACGCACACACAUUGGGGUAUAAUCUUGGCCAAAGAUAUUUGCCACGCAGGCUGGAAUUUAACCACCAACAUUGCCACUUAUUGGGUACACCUGUUCAACUGCUUGUUAAUGGAAAUAUUUAAUCAGCCAAUCACAUGGCAUUAAGUCAAUGUAUUUAGACAUGUAUCAUUUUAUGAUGCUUCAUGCUACAUGUUGAUUCCUAAGUGCUUAGUUUCAAUUUGAUCCCGGUUAUAAUAUAAUAUUAUUUGGAAACUUUUCAUGGGAAUCAUUCAGUCUAAGUCAUCAGUCAUGCAGGUCUUUCCACACAGCAGCUGUUUCUUUACAGUUCGUUUUCCUUAAAUGGAAAGAACUGCUGACCUCCCUGGGGACAUAAUUAGACAGUGUUUACAAAUUUUAGUUGUUCAUUGAGUUGUCAAGUGUGAUCUGUCAGGGGAGUGUGUGUCAGGGGAGUGUGAGACAGUCCAGGAGGAGAAAAUCACAAUCAAGCUCAGUAUGUUUGUGAUGUCAUGAGUAUGACUAAAAUACUUAUUGAUCAUUAGUGACAGAGGUCUUUCAUUUUUUUUAAAGAAAAUAGUAUUUCUUUUCCUGCUUCUUGGCAAAAUAAGAACACUUUGUUCAUGGAUGAAGAUUAUAUAUGACAUGAAGGAUAACCUG